Long non-coding RNA from Vicia villosa (hairy vetch), 769 nucleotides. RefSeq lists it as uncharacterized. The record is from RefSeq and is a predicted model, not a curated record. The transcript has 2 exons. Lineage: Eukaryota; Viridiplantae; Streptophyta; Magnoliopsida; Fabales; Fabaceae.
AUAUGAAUUAUUUCAAAAAAUAAUAAUAAAAGUAAUGAAAAUCUAACUUAAAUAUCAGAUUUUGAGUUUUUUUUAAGAAUUUUUUUUUAAAACGUUCUUAACAUGUCCGUAAAAUAAUAAUUUAAACAUAUACAUUAGUUUAACAGUAGGAACUAAAACUACGUUUAUAAUAAUUUUGUAGUUACCAAAAAUAAAAUUUUGUAUUUUAUAGGAACAAAAACAUAUUUAACCCUAAAAUAUAUUAUGUGAUAUAAUACUACAAAUAUUUAAAUGUUUUAAGCAUUAUCUUUACACAUUAUAAAUUGAUCAAAUUUCAUUCAAUUUGUAAAACAAAAAGAGAAAAGAAUAUGGCUACAAUUCUCAAGUUUAUUUGUGCUAUAAUUUUAUUUCUUUCCUUAAUUCAUCUUUCAACGGAGGCUGGCGUUGCAGGUAAUCCAUGUGAAACUGAUGAAGAUUGCCCUUUGCCUAAAUUUCAAAGUAUUAGCCCUAACAUGGUGACUGUCUUUUAUAAGUGCAUUGAUAGAAAGUGUAUACUGUUUCACGGGUUACCGCAGAAACCAUAGUUGCAAGGGAAAUAUCAAAGACAUAUAUAAUAUACUUUAUGGUAGAAUGUUGCAUGAGUGGUCAUUUAAGAUUUAUUCUUACAACCAAUAAUUAUAUUUUUCAUAUAAUUUUUCGUUUUGUAAUAAUGUGUUACUUCAAAUUAUGACUUUGUUCUCUAAUAUUUUAAAAAUGAAAUAAAAAAGGUAGGAAAUAUUAUUAUAAUUCA